Molecule: ribosomal RNA, 3102 nt
Filed under: Corynebacterium sp. HMSC074C11
Lineage: Bacteria; Bacillati; Actinomycetota; Actinomycetes; Mycobacteriales; Corynebacteriaceae
Description: bacterial LSU rRNA
Rfam family: Bacterial large subunit ribosomal RNA
Source: RNAcentral
GUGUUGUGUUGUAAGGGCGCAUGGUGGAUGCCUUGGCAUAGUAGGCCGAUGAAGGACGUGAGAGGCUGCGAUAGGCCUCGGGGAGUUGCCAACUAAGCGUUGAUCCGAGGGUGUCCGAAUGGGGAAACCUGGCCGUCGUUGUGGGCGGUCGCCGUUAGAUGAAUUCAUAGUCUAAUUGGUGGUUACGCGGGGAAGUGAAACAUCUCAGUACCCGUAGGAGUAGAAAACAAUUGUGAUUCCGUUAGUAGUGGCGAACGAACGUGGAUGAGGCUAAACCGCGUGCGUGUGAUACCUGGCAGGGUUUGCGUGCGUGGGGUUGUGGGGAUGCAUUGUUGCAGGGUCUGCUAGUCCUGCGUUGCGUGUGUGUGGGUGUAGCGGAAGUGGAUUGGAAUGUCCUGCCGUAGACGGUGAGAGUCCGGUACGUGAAACACUCGCAUCUGCAAUUGGUGUGUUGCCCGAGUAGCAGCGGGCUCGUGGAAUCUGCUGUGAAUCUGCCGGGACCACCCGGUAAGCCUAAAUACCUGCUUAUGACCGAUAGCGGAUUAGUACCGUGAGGGAAUGGUGAAAAGUACCCCGGGAGGGGAGUGAAAUAGUACCUGAAACCAUGUGCUUACAAUCCGUCAGAGCCUCCGUGUGGGGUGAUGGCGUGCCUUUUGAAGAAUGAGCCUGCGAGUCAGCGGCAUGUCGCGAGGUUAACCCGUUUGGUGGGGUAGUCGUAGCGAAAGCGAAUACUAAUUAGUGUGUUUUUAGUGGCAUGUCCUGGACCCGAAGCGGGGUGAUCUACCCAUGGCCAGUGUGAAGCAGAGGUAAGACUCUGUGGAGGCGCGAACCCACUUAGGUUGAAAACUGAGGGGAUGAGUUGUGGGUAGGGGUGAAAGGCCAAUCAAACUCCGUGAUAGCUGGUUCUCCCCGAAAUGCAUUUAGGUGCAGCGUCGUGUGUUUCCUCCUGGAGGUAGAGCUACUGGUUGGUUUAGCGGGACUAUCAUCUUAGCGACAUCAGCCAAACUCCGAAUGCCAGGUCAGGUGAGAGCACGGCAGUGAGACUGCGGGGGAUAAGCUUCGUAGUCGAGAGGGAAACAGCCCAGAUCGCCGGCUAAGGCCCCUAAGGGUGUGCUAAGUGGAAAAGGAUGUGGGAUCGCGAAGACAACCAGGAGGUUGGCUUAGAAGCAGCCAUCCUUGAAAGAGUGCGUAAUAGCUCACUGGUCGAGUGGUUCUGCGCCGACAAUGUAGUGGGGCUCAAGUACACCGCCGAAGCCGCGGCAAUCAUCUUUUGUGGUGGUUGGGUAGGGGAGCGUCGCGUGACUGCUGUGAAGCGCUGGGGUAACCCUAGUGUGGAGUGUGCGCGAGUGAGAAUGCAGGCAUGAGUAGCGAAUGAGGAGUGGAAAACUCCUCCGCCGAAUGACUAAGGGUUCCUGGGCCAGGUUAAUCCUCCCAGGGUGAGUCGGGGCCUAAGGCGAGGCCGACAGGCGUAGUCGAUGGAUAACGGGUUGAUAUUCCCGUACCCGUGUGUCCGCGCCCAUGGUGAAUCAGGGAUACUAACCCACCUGAACACGCGCCGUUUACUAGCCUUUUGGGUUGGUUGGUGUGUGUGAUGCUGGGGACCUGAACUGGUAGUAGCCAAGUGAUGGGGUGACGCAGGAAGGUAGCCGUGCCACGUGAUGGAUAUCGUGGUGUAAGCGUGUGGCCCGUGUUCUAGGUAAAUCCGGAGCACAUAUAGGGUGAGGCGUGAUGCGUACCCGUAUUUGGGGAAGUUGGUGAUCCUAUGCUGCCGAGAAAAGCCUCUAGCGAUGUGGAUAUACGGCCCGUACCCGAAACCGACACAGGUAGUCAGGUAGAGAAUACUAAGGCGAUCGGGAGAACUGUGGUUAAGGAACUCGGCAAAAUGCCCCCGUAACUUCGGGAGAAGGGGGGCCAUGACUGGUGACCGACGUGGUUGAGCUGGUUGUGGCCGCAGAGAAUAGAGGGAAGCGACUGUUUACUAAAAACACAGGUCCGUGCGAAGACGUUUAAGUCGAUGUAUACGGACUGACGCCUGCCCGGUGCUGGAAGGUUAAGAGGACCUGUUAGAUUCCUUGUGGGGUCGAAGCGGAGAAUUUAAGCCCCAGUAAACGGCGGUGGUAACUAUAACCAUCCUAAGGUAGCGAAAUUCCUUGUCGGGUAAGUUCCGACCUGCACGAAUGGCGUAACGACUUCCCUGCUGUCUCAACCACAGACCCGGCGAAAUUGCAGUACGAGUAAAGAUGCUCGUUACGCGCGGCAGGACGAAAAGACCCCGGGACCUUCACUAUAGCUUGGUAUUGGUGUUCGGUUCGGUUUGUGUAGGAUAGGUGGGAGACUGUGAUGCCUCAACGCCAGUUGGGGUGGAGUCGUUGUUGAAAUACCACUCUGAUCGUAUUGGACAUCUCAACCUCGGCCCGUGAUCCGGGUUAGGGACAGUGCCUGGUGGGUAGUUUAACUGGGGCGGUUGCCUCCCAAAGAGUAACGGAGGCGCCCAAAGGUUCCCUCAGCCUGGUUGGCAAUCAGGUGUUGAGUGUAAGUGCACAAGGGAGCUUGACUGUGAGACUGACAGGUCGAGCAGGUAGGAAACUAGGGACUAGUGAUCCGGCACCGGCUUGUGGAAGCGGUGUCGCUCAACGGAUAAAAGGUACCCCGGGGAUAACAGGCUGAUCUUCCCCAAGAGUCCAUAUCGACGGGAUGGUUUGGCACCUCGAUGUCGGCUCGUCGCAUCCUGGGGCUGGAGUAGGUCCCAAGGGUUGGGCUGUUCGCCCAUUAAAGCGGCACGCGAGCUGGGUUUAGAACGUCGUGAGACAGUUCGGUCUCUAUCCGCCGCGCGCGUAGAAACUUGAGGAAGGCUGUCCCUAGUACGAGAGGACCGGGAUGGACGUACCUCUGGUGUGCCAGUUGUCCCGCCUGGGGCAUGGCUGGUUGGCUACGUACGGAAGGGAUAACCGCUGAAAGCAUCUAAGCGGGAAGCCUGUUCCAAGAUUAGGUUUCUUUUGAGGUCCCCUAUAGAUGAUGGGGUUGAUAGGCCGGAUCUGGAAGCAUCGUAAGGUGUGGAGGUGACCGGUACUAAUAGACCAAACAUUCAACACACAAGAGAGU